This 84-nucleotide microRNA precursor is filed under the name Bombyx mori (domestic silkworm). RNAcentral describes it as "mir-2807 microRNA precursor family". It matches the Rfam family "mir-2807 microRNA precursor family". Lineage: Eukaryota; Metazoa; Arthropoda; Insecta; Lepidoptera; Bombycidae. The record is from Rfam by way of RNAcentral.
UUAACAAAUAUUUGUAUGGAGUUGGAACGUUUGCCUACGUUUGCCGCUAGGGGCGCUGUUCCAAUUGCAUACAAAUUUGAGUUA